GACGAACGCUGGCGGCGUGCUUAACACAUGCAAGUCGAACGGAAAGGCCCUGCUCUUGUGGGGUGCUCGAGUGGCGCACGGGUGAGUAACACGUGAGUAACCUGCCCUUGACUUUGGGGUAACUUCAGGGAACUGGGGCUAAUACCGGAUAUGAGCUCCUGCUGCAUGGUGUGGGAUGGAAAGUUUCGGCGGUUGGGGAUGGACUGGCGGCUUAUCAGCUUGUUGGGGUGGUAGUGGCUUACCAAGGCUUUGACGGGUAGCCGGCCUGAGAGGGUGAGCGGCCACCUUGGGACUGAGGUACGGCCCAGACUGCUACGGGACGGAGCAGUGGGGAAUAUUACGGAAUGAGGCGAAGUCAGAUGCAGAAGCGUUCCGAGCGGGAUGCCGGCUUUUGGGUUGUAAACCGCUUUCGCAUGAGACGAAGCGUGAGUGACGGUAAUGGGUAAAGAAGCACCGGCUAACUACGUG
This 468-nucleotide ribosomal RNA is filed under the name uncultured bacterium. RNAcentral describes it as "partial 16S ribosomal RNA". It matches the Rfam family "Bacterial small subunit ribosomal RNA", at positions 28 to 507 of the family's 1533-position model. The record is from RNAcentral.